This 220-nucleotide long non-coding RNA is filed under the name Elaeis guineensis (African oil palm). RNAcentral describes it as "long non-coding RNA (EGUI_LNC001815)". The record is from RNAcentral. Lineage: Eukaryota; Viridiplantae; Streptophyta; Magnoliopsida; Arecales; Arecaceae.
AAUGAGAAUUUGCCUUGGAUUGUCACUCAAUUCCAUGUCAAAGACUAAAAAAUCAACUGAAAAAUAGAACUCAUUUAUCUUGACCAAAACAUCAUCGAUCAUCCCACGUGAUGUCUUAAUUGAUCUAUCAGCUAAUUGUAGAGUGACUGAUGUGGGUUUCAAUUCUCCGAAUUCAAAAAAUUCAUAAACCGAACUAGGUAAAAGAUUCACACUCACCUCU